GGGUUGUGAGGUUAAGCGACUAAGCGUACACGGUGGAUGCCCUGGCAGUCAGAGGCGAUGAAGGACGUGCUAAUCUGCGAUAAGCGUCGGUAAGGUGAUAUGAACCGUUAUAACCGGCGAUUUCCGAAUGGGGAAACCCAGUGUGUUUCGACACACUAUCAUUAACUGAAUCCAUAGGUUAAUGAGGCGAACCGGGGGAACUGAAACAUCUAAGUACCCCGAGGAAAAGAAAUCAACCGAGAUUCCCCCAGUAGCGGCGAGCGAACGGGGAGCAGCCCAGAGCCUGAAUCAGUGUGUGUGUUAGUGGAAGCGUCUGGAAAGGCGCGCGAUACAGGGUGACAGCCCCGUACACAAAAAUGCACAUAUUGUGAGCUCGAUGAGUAGGGCGGGACACGUGGUAUCCUGUCUGAAUAUGGGGGGACCAUCCUCCAAGGCUAAAUACUCCUGACUGACCGAUAGUGAACCAGUACCGUGAGGGAAAGGCGAAAAGAACCCCGGCGAGGGGAGUGAAAAAGAACCUGAAACCGUGUACGUACAAGCAGUGGGAGCACGCUUAGGCGUGUGACUGCGUACCUUUUGUAUAAUGGGUCAGCGACUUAUAUUCUGUAGCAAGGUUAACCGAAUAGGGGAGCCGAAGGGAAACCGAGUCUUAACUGGGCGUUAAGUUGCAGGGUAUAGACCCGAAACCCGGUGAUCUAGCCAUGGGCAGGUUGAAGGUUGGGUAACACUAACUGGAGGACCGAACCGACUAAUGUUGAAAAAUUAGCGGAUGACUUGUGGCUGGGGGUGAAAGGCCAAUCAAACCGGGAGAUAGCUGGUUCUCCCCGAAAGCUAUUUAGGUAGCGCCUCGUGAAUUCAUCUCCGGGGGUAGAGCACUGUUUCGGCAAGGGGGUCAUCCCGACUUACCAACCCGAUGCAAACUGCGAAUACCGGAGAAUGUUAUCACGGGAGACACACGGCGGGUGCUAACGUCCGUCGUGAAGAGGGAAACAACCCAGACCGCCAGCUAAGGUCCCAAAGUCAUGGUUAAGUGGGAAACGAUGUGGGAAGGCCCAGACAGCCAGGAUGUUGGCUUAGAAGCAGCCAUCAUUUAAAGAAAGCGUAAUAGCUCACUGGUCGAGUCGGCCUGCGCGGAAGAUGUAACGGGGCUAAACCAUGCACCGAAGCUGCGGCAGCGACACUAUGUGUUGUUGGGUAGGGGAGCGUUCUGUAAGCCUGCGAAGGUGUGCUGUGAGGCAUGCUGGAGGUAUCAGAAGUGCGAAUGCUGACAUAAGUAACGAUAAAGCGGGUGAAAAGCCCGCUCGCCGGAAGACCAAGGGUUCCUGUCCAACGUUAAUCGGGGCAGGGUGAGUCGACCCCUAAGGCGAGGCCGAAAGGCGUAGUCGAUGGGAAACAGGUUAAUAUUCCUGUACUUGGUGUUACUGCGAAGGGGGGACGGAGAAGGCUAUGUUGGCCGGGCGACGGUUGUCCCGGUUUAAGCGUGUAGGCUGGUUUUCCAGGCAAAUCCGGAAAAUCAAGGCUGAGGCGUGAUGACGAGGCACUACGGUGCUGAAGCAACAAAUGCCCUGCUUCCAGGAAAAGCCUCUAAGCAUCAGGUAACAUCAAAUCGUACCCCAAACCGACACAGGUGGUCAGGUAGAGAAUACCAAGGCGCUUGAGAGAACUCGGGUGAAGGAACUAGGCAAAAUGGUGCCGUAACUUCGGGAGAAGGCACGCUGAUAUGUAGGUGAAGUCCCUCGCGGAUGGAGCUGAAAUCAGUCGAAGAUACCAGCUGGCUGCAACUGUUUAUUAAAAACACAGCACUGUGCAAACACGAAAGUGGACGUAUACGGUGUGACGCCUGCCCGGUGCCGGAAGGUUAAUUGAUGGGGUCAGCGCAAGCGAAGCUCUUGAUCGAAGCCCCGGUAAACGGCGGCCGUAACUAUAACGGUCCUAAGGUAGCGAAAUUCCUUGUCGGGUAAGUUCCGACCUGCACGAAUGGCGUAAUGAUGGCCAGGCUGUCUCCACCCGAGACUCAGUGAAAUUGAACUCGCUGUGAAGAUGCAGUGUACCCGCGGCAAGACGGAAAGACCCCGUGAACCUUUACUAUAGCUUGACACUGAACAUUGAGCCUUGAUGUGUAGGAUAGGUGGGAGGCUUGGAAGUGUGGACGCCAGUCUGCAUGGAGCCGACCUUGAAAUACCACCCUUUAAUGUUUGAUGUUCUAACGUUGACCCGUAAUCCGGGUUGCGGACAGUGUCUGGUGGGUAGUUUGACUGGGGCGGUCUCCUCCUAAAGAGUAACGGAGGAGCACGAAGGUUGGCUAAUCCUGGUCGGACAUCAGGAGGUUAGUGCAAUGGCAUAAGCCAGCUUGACUGCGAGCGUGACGGCGCGAGCAGGUGCGAAAGCAGGUCAUAGUGAUCCGGUGGUUCUGAAUGGAAGGGCCAUCGCUCAACGGAUAAAAGGUACUCCGGGGAUAACAGGCUGAUACCGCCCAAGAGUUCAUAUCGACGGCGGUGUUUGGCACCUCGAUGUCGGCUCAUCACAUCCUGGGGCUGAAGUAGGUCCCAAGGGUAUGGCUGUUCGCCAUUUAAAGUGGUACGCGAGCUGGGUUUAGAACGUCGUGAGACAGUUCGGUCCCUAUCUGCCGUGGGCGCUGGAGAACUGAGGGGGCUGCUCCUAGUACGAGAGGACCGGAGUGGACGCAUCACUGGUGUUCGGGUUGUCAUGCCAAUGGCACUGCCCGGUAGCUAAAUGCGGAAGAGAUAAGUGCUGAAAGCAUCUAAGCACGAAACUUGCCCCGAGAUGAGUUCUCCCUGACUCCUUGAGAGUCCUGAAGGAACGUUGAAGACGACGACGUUGAUAGGCCGGGUGUGUAAGCGCAGCGAUGCGUUGAGCUAACCGGUACUAAUGAACCGUGAGGCUUAACCUUACAACGCCGAAGGUGUUU
RNAcentral lists this ribosomal RNA (2929 nucleotides) under Escherichia coli C. Its description in RNAcentral is "bacterial LSU rRNA". It matches the Rfam family "Bacterial large subunit ribosomal RNA". The record is from RNAcentral. Lineage: Bacteria; Pseudomonadati; Pseudomonadota; Gammaproteobacteria; Enterobacterales; Enterobacteriaceae.